This 900-nucleotide long non-coding RNA is filed under the name Papio anubis (olive baboon). Its description in RNAcentral is "lncRNA (ENSPANG00000050906.1)". Lineage: Eukaryota; Metazoa; Chordata; Mammalia; Primates; Cercopithecidae. The record is from RNAcentral.
AUGCACCACAAUAGGUUUGUUCAAUUACGAGUUGAUGGAUGGGUUUGUUUUUUUCCAGUUUGGGACUAUCAUGAAUACAUCUGCCUGGGACAUUUGCGUACAGGUCUUUGCGUGGAUCUAUCUUUUCAUUUCUCUAAAUACCUGAGUGGAAUUGUUGGAUCAUAUGAAUGCCCACUCUGGGAGAAGCCAGUUGCCAUGACAUCCAACUAUGCCAAGACCAUAUGCUAUGAGAAAGUCCAAAGAAGCCAUAUAGAGGAGCUGCAUGGAGAAAAAGAGAGAGAGAGAGCUGACCAGCCACGAUCUGUUCCAGCCAUUCCAGCCCAGACGCCAGCCAUAUGAGUGAAAGAAGCCAUCUUGAAUGUCCAGUCCAGCCAAGCUUUCAGAGGACUCCAGCCCCAACCACCCUCUGAUUACAAUUCUACAAGGGUCUGAAAGGUAGAACUACCCAUCAGAAUCAACCCCAAGAACCAUGAGGGACAAUAAAUGGUUGUUUUAAGUCCCUGAGUUUUGGAGUGGUUUGUUAUGCAGCAAUAGCUAACUGGCACAUGGAUGGUGCUCAGGUUUGGGGUCUGCCGACUUGGAAAGGUGGUAAGCCUGGGAACAAGAGAGAGGGCUGCUGGCUGUUGUCAUGUUCCUUCUUUUUCCUUCUACAUUCAAACUCCCUGGAUAUCAUCUUAUAUCCUUACACUGUCAGUGCCAGAAUUGUGGGUGGCUAUGAGAAAACGGAGACUGGCAAGAAACAGGAACUGAGAAAGUCAAAGCAGAUGCCAGGCCCAGGAAUGAGCCCAACUCCAACAAAAUAUUAGGAACAGUAAUUCUUUACAUGUUAACAGUCCUUUGCAGUUUCUAAAGCACCCUGAGAUGUGUUAUUUGACCCUCAUAUCAGCUAGGGGAUAUGAG